UCCAGCCCUGCAGUGCAAACCUACCGCGUUCCUCAGGUAGGCGACUCCCCAGCCCGGGAAUGCUAGGGACCUUUAAAUUUUUGUCAUAGUUCCCGCCAUCUUUUUUUAGGUCACUACAAGCCUGUUUCCUCCUAAGAGAUGAUGACCUCGAGAUACAGCUACAACCGGUAAUAAGGCACCACGGCAGUCCCUUUUCUUCUGGCUGCUCGGGCCAAGAACACCCCACGUCUGGGAGGAACCGCGGCACCUGGACCAGCGGAGCCAGUUCGGCCGCAUCAGUGGUUCUCCUUCCAAGCCUCUCAGGGAGCUUUUCUCCAUCCCACCUAGCUGUGUCUUCUCCCCACACCCUGUCCUGCCUGCCCCAAAGCAGUCCCGCUCCAUCCCCGGCCUCACACCCCAGCCUCCUUCUCUGUAAUACAUGGCCUGACAAGUCCCCCAACUUCCCCCCAAGUUCUAAGAGCUACCAAAACCUUUUUUUUUUCCCCUCCCGAUUUCCCCUACUGGCUACAGCAGUAGAGACGACAGCGCUGUUUCCUUCAUGUAGAAACUGCGGUGAGAAAUGUAAGAACGGAGAUAGGAAGAAAGCACAAACCCACAAAACAAACAAACAAACAAACAUAUGAUGACAACCAAAGCAAACUCGGGACAAAAGGGAAAAGCCAGACUUCCACACCCUGGCAAGGGCUGCUGCUUUCCACAGAGUGGUCUCCUGAAAGAAGAGAAAACGCACAGUGUCUACACCAGCCCUAGAGACCUUCCAGGCAAAGGAUGAAGCUGUAGAAAGAACAUCUUAAGACACUCCUACCGCAGAGCAUCCUUCCAUGACCCCAGCACCUGCAGAAAGCUGUCCUAGAACACGAUCUCCAGCUUCCGUCCACACUGACACAUCCCAGGUGAUCCGCUGCGCACACACCAGCCGGUUCUUAGCAUUUCCCCGGUCUCCUGUCUCUAAGUGUCAAGCCUGAUCCGUCAGAAAGGUGGGGACAUCAUGAUAAUACACAUGCAGUAGGCGAGGCAUCGUUCUGAGCAACGACUUACGUGCUCUUUGCUGAGGGAAAGCCGAUCUGAGAACAGUCUGAAGGUACCGCCUGUUUUCAGCCACCCCCGGGAAGCUGCCCUAAGCAUAGCAAGAUCCUGCCUGCAGUGAUGCACUCUUCUACUAAGAGGGAAAAUGGACACCUGACAAACCCGGACGAUGAAGACACCAUAGGCUGUGCAGUGCUGUGUGCUGCAGUGCGGUGCAGUGCAGUGUGGUGUGGUGCAGUGUUGUGUGGUGCUGUGCAGUGCAGUGUGGUACUGUGCUUGGUUGGUGCAGUGCAGUGCAGUGUUGUAUGGUUCGGUGUAGUGCUUGGUUGGUACAGUGCAGUGUUGUAUGGUUCAGUGUAGUGCUUGUACUGUGUGGUGCAGUGUUGUGGUGCAAUGUGGUGCUCUUGGUGUGGUGCUGUAUGGUGCUGUAUGGUGCAGUGUUGUGCUGUAUGGUGCAGUGUGGUGCUGUAUGGUGCAGUGUUGUGCUGUAUGGUGCAGUGUGGUGCUGUAUGGUGCAGUGUUGUGCUGUAUGGUGCAGUGUGGUACUGUAUGAUGCAAUGCGGUGCUGUAUGGUGCAGUGUGGUGCUGUAUGAUGCAGUGUGGUGCUGUAUGGUGCAGUGUGGUGCUGUGCAGUGCAGUGCUGUGUGGUGCAGUGUGGUGCAGUGAAGUGUUUGUGGUGCAGUGCAGUGUUGUGUGGUGCAGUGCAGUGCAGUGCGGUGCUGUGUGGUACUGUGCUUGGUGCAGUGUAGUACAGUGUUGUGUGGUUCAGGGUAGUGUUGUAUGGUGCAGUGCAGUGCUGUGUGGUGCUGUGCUGAUUUUUGAGGUGUAGUCUCACUGUUCAGCACAGGUUGGUCUUGAACUCUAGAUCCUCCUGCCUCAGCCUUUGGAUCAUAGGCAUGUGCACUCACCCCUGGCCUCAGGCCUCAGACUCAGAAUCAAGAGAAGCAGAUUAGAGUUCUUGCUUUGUCAUUUAUUAG
Peromyscus maniculatus bairdii (prairie deer mouse) is the source of this 2003-nucleotide non-coding RNA. The record is from RefSeq and is a predicted model, not a curated record. Lineage: Eukaryota; Metazoa; Chordata; Mammalia; Rodentia; Cricetidae.